This 24-nucleotide non-coding RNA is filed under the name Arabidopsis thaliana (thale cress). The record is from RNAcentral. Lineage: Eukaryota; Viridiplantae; Streptophyta; Magnoliopsida; Brassicales; Brassicaceae.
AGGGCGACCUCAAUGAUGCACCAC